This 770-nucleotide ribosomal RNA is filed under the name uncultured bacterium. RNAcentral's name for it is "bacterial SSU rRNA". It matches the Rfam family "Bacterial small subunit ribosomal RNA", at positions 28 to 793 of the family's 1533-position model. The record is from RNAcentral.
AUUGAACGCUGGCGGCAUGCCUUACACAUGCAAGUCGAACGGUAGCGCGGGCUUCGGCCUGGCGACGAGUGGCGAACGGGUGAGUAAUAUAUCGGAACGUGCCCUAGAGUGGGGGAUAACUAGUCGAAAGAUUAGCUAAUACUGCAUACGAUCUAAGGAUGAAAGUGGGGGUCGCAAGACCUCAUGCUCAUGGAGCGGCCGAUAUCUGAUUAGCUAGUUGGUGGGGUAAAAGCCUACCAAGGCGACGAUCAGUAGCUGGUCUGAGAGGACGACCAGCCACACUGGGACUGAGACACGGCCCAGACUCCUACGGGAGGCAGCAGUGGGGAAUUUUUGGACAAUGGGGGCAACCCUGAUCCAGCAAUGCCGCGUGUGUGAAGAAGGCCUCGGGUUGUAAAGCACUUUUGUCCGGAAAGAAAUCCUCUGGGUUAAUACCCCGGAGGGAUGACGGUACCGGAAGAAUAAGCACCGGCUAACUACGUGCCAGCAGCCGCGGUAAUACGUAGGGUGCAAGCGUUAAUCGGAAUUACUGGGCGUGAAGCGUGCGCAGGCGGUUGUGCAAGACAGAUGUGAAAUCCCCGGGCUUAACCUGGGAACUGCAUUUGUGACUGCACGGCUAGAGUGUGUCAGAGGGGGGUAGAAUUCCACGUGUAGCAGUGAAAUGCGUAGAGAUGUGGAGGAAUACCAAUGGCGAAGGCAGCCUCCUGGCCUAAUACUGACGCUCAUGCUCGAAAGCGUGGGGGAGCAAACAGGAUUAGAUACCCUGGUAG